GAUGAACGCUGGCGGCGUGCCUAAUACAUGCAAGUCGAGCGAACAGACGAGGAGCUUGCUCCUCUGACGUUAGCGGCGGACGGGUGAGUAACACGUGGAUAACCUACCUAUAAGACUGGGAUAACUUCGGGAAACCGGAGCUAAUACCGGAUAAUAUAUUGAACCGCAUGGUUCAAUAGUGAAAGACGGUUUUGCUGUCACUUAUAGAUGGAUCCGCGCCGCAUUAGCUAGUUGGUAAGGUAACGGCUUACCAAGGCAACGAUGCGUAGCCGACCUGAGAGGGUGAUCGACCACACUGUAACUGAGACACGUUCCAGACUCCUACGAGAGGCACCAGUAGGAGAUCUUCCGCAAUGGGCGAAAGCUUGACGUGGCAACGCCGCUUGAGUGAUGGAAGUCUUCGGAUCGUAAGACUCUGUUAUUAGGGGAGAGCAAAUGUGUAAGUAACUGUGCACGUCUUGACGGUACCUAAUCAGAAAGCCACGGCUAACUACGUG
RNAcentral lists this ribosomal RNA (497 nucleotides) under uncultured bacterium. RNAcentral describes it as "partial 16S ribosomal RNA". It matches the Rfam family "Bacterial small subunit ribosomal RNA", at positions 28 to 507 of the family's 1533-position model. The record is from RNAcentral.